Panicum virgatum (switchgrass) is the source of this 681-nucleotide long non-coding RNA. RefSeq lists it as uncharacterized. NCBI's taxonomy places the organism in Eukaryota, Viridiplantae, Streptophyta, Magnoliopsida, Poales, Poaceae. The transcript is spliced from 2 exons. The record is from RefSeq and is a predicted model, not a curated record.
GCCCAGCCAGAUGCCGGCUCACGGCCGCGCCCCCUCCCCCGCCCGGGGUUCUGCCGCGCCCGCCAGCACCGCCGCAGCCGCUCGGGUCGGCCACGGGCGCAGGUGCGGGUCGCCGUGCGUGCCGCGGCAGCUCGUACGCCUUGCGGGCUUAAUCCACGUGUCCUUUUUUUUUCGGUCAUGAUCUUCGGUGCAAGAUGAGCCCAAAAGCUGCGCUUCUUCGUUCGGUUUUCAGUCCUUUGAUGGCAAACGAGUGUUUUUCCUCAACUGCUGUUCAUGAAGAACGAGCUUCUGAUACCUCGAAAGGAAUGGAGGUAUUCUCUUUGCGUGUGUUCUGCACUUGUGCUUAACGGCUUUUUUUUUCCUGGCCUUUGUUUGCCUUGGUGUUAACUUGUCUGUUGCGAGUGGAAAAUAUUUGUGAGGAGGACAGCGAGGAGGGUGAUGAUAAUCGUACUGACGCCCAGUCAUACGGUCCGUGUCGAUGGCGGAUUGCUAUGGUGACUUAUCAAUCCAACUCUGACUCCUCGAUUGUCUUCCAUAGGACGAGUGUCAUCUUUCUUCUCCAUUCUGAUUUUCCUGACCUAUUUGCGUUUUUUUUUCUUGUUUGGAUGGCACCUUCUCUACACUAAUACACUCUUUGGUUCGAUAACUUUUUGAAAAACUUUGAACUGCUUUGUUGAAAAA